This 67-nucleotide transfer RNA is filed under the name Kiwa tyleri. Its description in RNAcentral is "tRNA-Phe". The record is from RNAcentral. Lineage: Eukaryota; Metazoa; Arthropoda; Malacostraca; Decapoda; Kiwaidae.
UCUUUUAUAAUUUAUAAUAAAGAAUAUUGUAUUGAAGCUACAAAAGAGAUUUAUUAAUCUAAAAGAA